Long non-coding RNA from Plectropomus leopardus (leopard coralgrouper), 2191 nucleotides. RefSeq lists it as uncharacterized. The record is from RefSeq and is a predicted model, not a curated record. Lineage: Eukaryota; Metazoa; Chordata; Actinopteri; Perciformes; Serranidae.
AUUGGAAAGAAGUGAGGGAAAGGUUGCAACACUGUACAGUGUAUAAAAAUUGUGACCAAAGAAGAAGAAGAGAGGAAGCUUAAACUGCGAUUAUAAGGAACAGGAUAUGAGGACUGAAGUGACUGAGUGAACAGUGUAUGAGUAAUAGUAUGUGUGGGAGGGCAAGACAGAAAAGGACACAGCCUGCACAGUAUGGGCGUGGAAGUUUCACACAGAGUUUCACUCCUCAGUCCUGUCAUUCAACAACUUAUAUGGCACUAGCUUUUCACAGGGACAGGUUGGGCCUCGGAGCUGUUGUCUUUUAUCAGCCGUGGUGUUUGGAUAAACACGUGGAAAUCUUAACAGAAAACUUCAUAUCCAAAGGAAGAAGAAUUAUGUGGCAGCUGUCAUCUUAAAUUGGAGUUUUGUUUCAGGGACAAGAAGACAAAGCACCUACCUUUCCUCUGUGGAUCUGAGCAAACUAAGAAAUCACUUGUGUCUCUGAAGGACUCAGACUGAGGAUCAGAGACUUUUCUAUUUGAUCAGAUUGCCAAAGUAACAAACACGCAGAGUACACUGGCAUGCUGCCUACCGCGCUUUGAUCAAAUCAGAGAAAUGACUACAUCACAUCAGACACAUGAAACGGUGGAUGAAGUGGUCCCACUGAAUACCAUCCCAGGAACAGGCGACGCACAAAAUAAUGACAUUAGAAUUCCAUUAACCAGUGGACAGGGUGCUGCCUCCCGCUUCCAUGACCCGAACCACAGGAAACUAGCCAUCUGCAGCAUCAUCUGUGGGAUCUCCUGCAUCGGAAUCAAGGCUCUAGUUAAUUCAGUCAAGGCUGAGACAACAGUGGAUCCAGAGAGAGCUGCAAAGUUUUCAAAACGGGCAAAAAAAUUGAGCAUCAUCUCCAUUGUGACAUGGGUUUCCAUUUUGGCUUCAAUUCCAAUACUGAUGGCACUGAUCUCAUAUCUCAUUACACUGCAAGACUGAUCAACUUUGAUGAAACCUCGACCAGAGGAGUGACUUUUGGAUGUCUAUGGAGACGGACAGUGGACAGUACAUGAAGAUAUUAAGACACUGGUACCUCCGUGGAAAACAAAGAGUGCUUUUCUGUUCUGACGAAAUGAAUGCUGUCCCAGUUUAUGCUUUACACUUCCUCUUAACCAUGUCAUGUUUUUAGACAAGGAAUAACCACUCUGAAAAACAAGUGUCAAAAACUGUACAAAUUUCACAUUUUUUAUGUAUGCUGUAAUAUUUAUUUAACAAUAUAUGAACAUGUGGACAAUUCCAAACUAAAUGACCAUAUAAAAUCCAGCAUUACCUGUAGUUUGAGACAUGACACUACAUGACACAUAUACAUUAUAUGUUAAAGAUUAGAGCAGUCACUCCGCGGUAAUGACCCAGUCCUUAAUACAUUUGCACCCUAAAUGCCAUUACAAUUUAACAUACUCAUUGUUAGAUAGUAUAUACAGUUUAUAAGUACUACAAAAGUUAAUUAAUUAUUCAAUCUGUCAAUCUAAAUUAGCAACAUAAAGUUAUUCAUCAAGGAUUGGGUCUCUACUGGAAAAAAAAAAUGGCACGGCAGUGCUUUGUCAGAACAAGAUCCUGCUCUUGUUGCCAGCAUUAUCAUGGCACUAUUGCAUUGUUACCAUAUUAUCUUUAUUAUACUGUCAAAUGUAUCAUGUUGUUCUUUUAUAAAAACAUAUAAACAGAAACAAUUUAAUAAUAAAACGAGAAAAACAUUUGUGCUCUGAGUUGCUUGAAGGAUUUUGAUCCGCCCUCAUAAAAACGGCAGUUAAGGCAACCUCAUAAAAAAUUUGGCCAAAAAGAAAAAUUACAUAAAUAGGUAGUUUCUCAAGAAGUUGCUGGACAUAUGAAAUACAAAUAUAGACACCACAGAAUAAUCCAGAGAGAGCCACAGGGAAUAAAACCCGACCAGCAGUGGAAUCUUGACACCUCCACUUUUGAUUAGAAAUGCUCUCUGGAGUGCCAUAUUGUUUCCAAGAUAUACAACUAAAACCUCUUCAGCCAUAAAAUUUACAAACACAAAUAACUGAUAAUUAGAUGUACAGGAGUGUACAGAAAACUGAGCAGAGCAAAAAGAUUAAAACAUGCUGCUUGCAGACGCACUUGGCUGUACACAGAAUUUGUGGACAGAAACGUAGUUUUGAAAUUAGCUGCAGUGAAUACAAAUCUCUUUGCCGGCAUG